CUUCAGCUGAGCUAAUUAAGUGAAGCCGCGAAUAGCUCAUUACAAUAGCCGUUGUUUCUUGGAUCCUCAAUUUACUUGGAUACCUGUGGUAAUUCUAGAGCUAAUACAUGCGACUAAGGGCCGAACUCACGUGACGCUUGCAUUUAUUAGAUCAAGACUAACCGGCUUCGGCCGUUAACUUGGUGACUCUGAAUAACUCAGCUGAUCGCACGGUCUAGUGCCGGCGACAUAUCUUUCAAGUGUCUACCUUAUCAACUGUCGAUGGUAGUUUAUGUGACUACCAUGGUUGUAACGGGUAACGGAGAAUCAGGGUUUGACUCCGGAGAGGGAGCCUGAGAAACGGCUACCACUUCUAAGGAAGGCAGCAGGCGCGCAAAUUACACAAUCUCAGCACGAGGAUGUAGUGACGAAACAUACCGAGGCGAUGCCCUUUCGGGUGUCGUCAUUGGAAUGAGUCGAAUCUAAAAAAUUCGGCAAGGAUCUAGUGGAGGGCAAGUCUGGUGCCAGCAGCCGCGGUAAUUCCAGCUCCGCAAGUGUAUAUCUAUGCUGUUGCGGUUAAAAAGCUCGUAGUUUGAUUCGCGUACUUAGCACGCAGUGUGGCCUUUCGGCUACUACUGUGAUGCGGUACAUUAUCGUCAGUUUGUCGUUGAUGCUCUUCAUUGGGUGUCAGCGGCGGCUGUCAAGUUUACUUUGAACAAAUUAAAGUGCUCAAUACAGGCGUUUCGCUUGUAUAGUUCUGCAUGGAAUAAUAGAAUAGGACUUACGUUCUAUUGUGUUGGUUUUCAGAACGAAAGUAAUGAUUAAGAGGGACAGACGGGGUCAUUCGUACUGCCACGUUAGAGGUGAAAUUCUUGGAUCGUGGCAAGACGAACUACUGCGAAAGCAUUGACAAGAA
Molecule: ribosomal RNA, 895 nt
Filed under: Halomonhystera sp. gd1
Lineage: Eukaryota; Metazoa; Nematoda; Chromadorea; Monhysterida; Monhysteridae
Description: SSU rRNA
Rfam family: Eukaryotic small subunit ribosomal RNA
Source: RNAcentral